RNAcentral lists this ribosomal RNA (691 nucleotides) under uncultured bacterium. Its description in RNAcentral is "bacterial SSU rRNA". It matches the Rfam family "Bacterial small subunit ribosomal RNA", at positions 8 to 692 of the family's 1533-position model. The record is from RNAcentral.
AGAGUUUGAUCCUGGCUCAGAUUGAACGCUGGCGGCAUGCCUUACACAUGCAAGUCGAACGGCAGCACGGGAGCAAUCCUGGUGGCGAGUGGCGAACGGGUGAGUAAUAUAUCGGAACGUGCCCAGUCGUGGGGGAUAACGCAGCGAAAGCUGUGCUAAUACCGCAUACGAUCUCUGGAUGAAAGCGGGGGACUCGCAAGGGCCUCGCGCGAUUGGAGCGGCCGAUAUCAGAUUAGCUAGUUGGUGGGGUAAAAGCCCACCAAGGCGACGAUCUGUAGCUGGUCUGAGAGGACGACCAGCCACACUGGAACUGAGACACGGUCCAGACUCCUACGGGAGGCAGCAGUGGGGAAUUUUGGACAAUGGGCGCAAGCCUGAUCCAGCAAUGCCGCGUGCAGGAUGAAGGCCUUCGGGUUGUAAACUGCUUUUGUACGGAACGAAACGGUCCUUUCUAAUACAAGGGGCUAAUGACGGUACCGUAAGAAUAAGCACCGGCUAACUACGUGCCAGCAGCCGCGGUAAUACGUAGGGUGCGAGCGUUAAUCGGAAUUACUGGGCGUAAAGCGUGCGCAGGCGGUUAUAUAAGACAGAUGUGAAAUCCCCGGGCUCAACCUGGGACCUGCAUUUGUGACUGUAUAGCUAGAGUACGGUAGAGGGGGAUGGAAUUCCGCGUGUAGCAGUGAAAUGCCUA